RNAcentral lists this long non-coding RNA (11566 nucleotides) under Triticum aestivum (bread wheat). RNAcentral's name for it is "long non-coding RNA (TAES_LNC004187)". Lineage: Eukaryota; Viridiplantae; Streptophyta; Magnoliopsida; Poales; Poaceae. The record is from RNAcentral.
AGGGCUUCGGCGGAGCUGUUCUGCCAGGGACACUUCCCUCCGGGAGGGGAAAAUCAUCGCCAUCGUCAUCACCAACGCUCCUCUCAUCGGGAGGGGGCCAAUCUCCAUCAACAUCUUCACCAGCACCAUCUCCUCUCAAACCCUAGUUCAUCUCUUGUAUCCAAUUCUUGUCUCUAAGUCUGGGAUUGGUACCUAUAGGUUGCUAGUAGUCUUGAUUACUCCUUGUAGUUGAUGCUAGUUGGUUUAUUUGGUGGAAGAUCAUAUGUUCAGAUCCUUUAUGCAUAUUAAUACUCCUCUGAUUAUGAACAUGAAUAUGCUUGGUGAGUAGUUACGUUUGUUCCUGAGGACAUGGUAGAAGUCUUGCUAUUAGUAGUCAUGUGAAUUUGGUAUUCGUUCGAUAUUUUGAUGAGAUGUAUGUUGUCUCUCCUCUAGUGGUGUCAUGUGAACGUCGACUACAUGACACUUCACCAUUAUUUGGGCCUAGAGGAAGGCAUUGGGAAGUAAUAAGUAGAUGAUGGGUUGCUAGAGUGACAGAAGCUUAAACCCUGGUUUAUGCGUUGCUUCGUAAGGGGUUGAUUUGGAUCCAUAUGUUUCAUGCUAUGGUUAGGUUUACCUUAAUGCUUCUUUUGUAGUUGUGGAUGCUUGCAAUAGGGGUUAGUCAUAAGUUGGAUGCUUGUUCAAGUAAGAACAGCACCCAAGCACCGGUCCACCCACAUAUCAAAUUAUCAAAGUACCGAACGCGAAUCAUAUGAACGUGAUGAAAACUAGCUUGACGAUAAUUCCCAUGUGUCCUCGGGAGCGCUUUUCUCUAUAUAAGAGUUUGUCCAGGCUUGUCCUUUGCUACCAAAAAGGAUUGGGUCACCUUGCUGCACUUUGUUUACUUUUGUUAAUUGUUGCUCGUUACAAAUUAUCUUAUCACAAAACUAUCUGUUACCUAUUAUUUCAGUGCUUGCAGAGAAUACCUUGCUGAAAACCGCUUAUCAUUUCCUUCUGCUCCUCGUUGGGUUCGACACUCUUACUUAUCGAAAGGACUACGAUAGAUCCCCUAUACUUGUGGGUCAUCAAGACUCUUUUCUGGCGCCGUUGCCGGGGAGUGAAGCGCCUUUGGUAGGUGGAAUUUGGUAAGGAAAAAUUUAUAUAGUGUGCUGAAAUUUAUUGUCACUUGUUACUAUGGAAAGUAAUCCUCUGAGGGGCUUGUUCAGGGUAUCUUCACCCCGACCAAUAGAGCAAAGCGUUGCUCCUCAACCUACUGAACCUACUGAAAAUGAAAAUGUCUACUUUGAGAUUUCUUUGGGUAUGAUAGAAAAACUGCUAGCUAAUCCUUUUGCAGGAGACGAAACGAUGCAUCCUGAUGAGCACCUAAUAUAUGUGGAUGAAGUUUGUGGAUUAUUUAAGCUUGCAGGUGUGCCCGACAAUGUUAUUAAUAAGAAGGUCUUCCCUUUAUCUUUGAAGGGAGAUGCAUUGACAUGGUAUAGGCUAUGUGAUGAUAUGGGAUCAUGGAACUACAAACGAUCGAAAUUGGAAUUUCAUCAGAAGCUUUAUCCUAUGCAUCUUGUUCAUCGUGAUCACAAUUAUAUAUAUAAUUUUUGGCCUUGCUAAGGAGAAAGCAUUGCUCAAGCUUGGGGGAGGCUUAAAUCAAUGUUAUAUUCAUGCCCCAAUCAUGUCGGGGCCGGAUUUCCGGGACAUAAAUUCCCAGCAAACGACCCUUAUGUCACCACCAGCCCCAGGAUUACUGUUGCUGGUGGAUAUUUCCUUGAUACAGAAUUCCAAGAAAUUACAAGGAUUUGAGUACAAGACCUUAUAGGUCCAUUGAGUACAACAAUGAUUUCGAGUGGCAAAUAAUGGAAGCGACUCGUGGAUCUCCAACGCUGAUGGAACUCCAUUCCCACGGGAACAGCUGACCUGGAUAACUCCUAUCUCGCGCGGUUGCUAUCUCCGAAUCCUAGGUUACGGGGUGGCUUCGUAGUACUCCUCUCUGAAUCAUGAUCUGGCCAAGAUAAUAGCCAUGGACAAGCCAGUGAGUACGUUUGAAUAUACUCGCAAACAUCAAGAACAAAAUAUAUAGAGGAUGCAUAUGCUCAUAAUGAAUUAAAUUAUAUGCAUGUGCAGACUGAGAAUUCAAGCAUGGCAUGAAAAAUAUUCAUACGGUGCGGAAGGAUAAAUAAGUCAUGUUAUUAGUAAAUCAAAUAAAUGAAACGGAACAUCGGGCGUUGGACCGCCCGAGAAAUUCCAAGAGAAAUGUCAAACGGGCGUCUAAAAGAGAAUCGGGCGAGACAGGACCGCCCAAGAACUCAAGCGACACCACGAGAGGUCUUGAAAAGAAAUGCCAAACAGGUGUCUAAAAGAGAGUCGAGCGAGACAGGACCGCCUGAGAACUCAAGCGACGCCACGAGAGGUCUUGAAAAUACACGCCACAGUCGGGUGUCUGAAGCGACGCCUCAUAAAGGGCUUAUAAGAAAAUAACAUGAGCAUUCAGGUGGACUAGCCAUCCCAAGAGAUACUCACAGUUGCACAUAAGAGGAAACGGUUAGUCCACAACAAUAUUCAUGUCAACAAUAAUAUUCAUAACGGCAUCAGCAGUGACAAUAAUUACCCCGCAGGACGAACCAUGAUCAAUUUAAUUAUUUCCUCCUGAGACUGACACUAAGACCGACACUUGACCAACCCAGACUGUAGUCCUUAACCACGGACACGGCUAUUCGAAUAGAUAUAACUCUGGAGAGGGUGUACUCUUUACCCACAAGUAAAGGAUUUCUUUAGUCAACCCCGAGAUGUUGACUAAUUUCGAUUACGGUCUUUGGGAUGAAAACACACCUGACCCGCACAUACCAGCUUUAAUCCAUCAAGCCAGGGAUCACCCAAAACAAUGAUAAAGUAAAACUCUAAGUGGGAAGGCCUCAUGCAACGGCCUCCAACAGCAUGAACAUUCAGCUUCGGUCCCAGACCGGCCAUUCAUGCCCCCGGACCAAAUGACAUGACUACUGGGGCCAAUAGUAUCAUUCCCUAUGGCCUCUCUGUACGGUGUGUGUAGGAAAGGGGUUAUCAACUUACUGAACCAUACCCUACCUUUGGCAGGGACGUGUGGUAGCACGAAUCAAGUAUGGGGGUUACUGGAACAAGACUCGAUCUACGGUCAACUCAGGAGGUUUAAGUUUCCCUGCAAUGGUUAGCACAAUACAAUUCCUUGGCAGUAGCCAACAGGGUCACCACCUAGUAUGUGUCAACAUACCCUCACUGAUCAUUCUUGUCACAACGAGAUUUCAGUCUCACGGUCACUUUUCUCGUGACUGAUUCUUCUUGCAAAUUAGCCUGGACCAACACAGGCAUAUACGGUACAUGAAAAUCACCAUACUCACUCAUACUUCAUGUUAAAAUGGAGAUAGAAUAUCAUCAAGGGGAAUCAUGCAUGUAUGACCAAUACUAUGCAAAUUUCAUAUGAGUUGAAUAUAUUCAUAAUUCAAUUCUACAUGCAAACAACCACUAUGCAUUCACCAUAUCAUGUCUUCAAGAUGCUUGCCUUGAGCAUGCAGAAAGAUUAGGCGCACUCCAAAACUUUGAAAAUUAUAUCUCCCCUCCACUUCCUAUUUUCAAAAUAUUAUAAUUACCACAUAAUUCUAAAACAACACAUAAAACUUGUUUGUAAAAUUUUGAAAUAAACACUAAAAUAGGUGAAAUUUGAAAAAUAAUAGAAAAAUAAUCAAGUAAUUUGGAGUUCAUAUGAUUUUCCUAUGGAUUUACUAAGCUCGAAUAUUAAAGGAAAACGGACUAUUUAGUAGAUCCAGCAAAAACCAGGACUAGGAAAAAUGUUCACCCUAUCUGGAUAAAUACAGCAUGAUUUUGAAAGUAGGUAUAAAUUUGAAUAAUUUAAUUUGGAUAUGAAAUGGAUUCUGUGGAAUUAUUUGAAAUCUGCUGGAAAAUAAAGGGAAACAGAGAUUACUGUGAUGGGAUGAGCAGAAACGCGCCUUGGGCGCAGUAUAGCCGCCUAGCGCUACUGGGCCGAGCCCAGUCGUUUGGCUGCGUGGGAGGGUUGCGACGUCGAAGGCGUCUCUCUGUGAGUACGCUUUCCGGAGGAGGAGACGUACUUUGGGGAAAACGUCUCUACUUAAAAUGAGCUGGCACCGCGCUGAGUCACUGGCAGUGGGCCCGCCCGGCCCACUGGUCAGGUUUGACCAGUCCACGCGCGCGCCUCCUUGUCCGGCCGAACAGAGGCGGAGCUCCGGCGGUCGGCGCCGGCGAAUGGCGGCACCGUUGGGAAAACAGAGGCCACCUAAGAGCUCAGGAGGUUGAGGCGAACACGUGGGUACCCUCCUUGGUCACUGGAGUGGAGGGAGUCAUCGGCGGCGAGCUCACCCGAGGAGCUCCGGCGGAGACGAAUUGGGCGUUUCGCCUAUGGUGGCUCCCGGGCAAAAUCGAGUGUGGGGGUGGAUCAAUGGGUGCUCAAGGAGGCUAUUGGUGGAGAAACUUGUGAGAGGGAGGGCCGGACGGCGUCGGAACCAUCCGAACAGUGGCGGCGGCAGUAGUUGCCGGAAUCGGAGAAGACGACUUCCUCUGGUCGUGUUGCUGCAACGGGUGGGUCAGUGAGGGAGAGGGAGAGUGAGAUGGUGUUGUUCGAGGGCCUUGGGUGGCUUUUUAUAGGGAGGGGAGGGCAGUGCCGCGGGUUCCAGAGAUGAACACGUCGGCGGCGACCAUUGAUGGCAAAGCGCGGGCGGUGGCGAGGUAGGAGUGGCCGGCGCGGUUAGGUACGGAUGGUGGCCGUCCGUAUUUACCACGGGGUCGCGCUGGCUGGCUCGGGUGGCCUGGGCGGUGCCGUGCCCGAGCUGACCGCGGCGGCGGCCAUUCAAGGCGAGCGAGUGGGUGGUGGCGAGGCCGGUGUGUCGCUAGUGUGGCCGGUGAGCUCCGGAUGAGCUCGAGCCGUUGGCAAUUAAGCCAGAGGGGCUCGGGCAGAGACGUGGACGGCGGUGGACGGCGCUAGGGGCCAAGCGAGGGUGUCGGCGAGGUUCCCGGUGGUCGAGCUGAUCCAGAGGAGGAUCAGGAUGAGAAGGGGAGGCAGCAGAGACACGGCAGGGGCUCGGUGCCGACGCGUGCAAAACACACGCUCUGGCCGCGCCCGGUGCACGCACGUUAGGUGUUCGUCAGAUUGCCAGUGGCAUCUACAGGGACACACACGAGCUAAAAAUCAACAAGAUGGUGCUUCUAGGUAUGAGAGGAGUGAUGGACAUGCUGGUUUGGCCAAAUAACCAGGUGUCCAGUGUAAGUUAGAAAGUGGCAACAUUUCUGUCAUGCCCACAAGGUGUUUGACAGAACGCUAGGGGCAAGCUAAAGGACUUUGAUGGAUUUGAAACUUGCCAGAUUGGGAUCUCUUUAGGUGCUAGAGAUGAUGGUGGAGUUAGUUUGGCAAGAUGAGAAACUUUCUAGUGCAAGUUUUACCAGAAUUCAGUUCUGGACAGAAACUUCAGAGAAGUGUUUGGUGGACUUGCAAGUUGAAAUUGAAGCUUCCCUUCUGGACUUAAGGUACUAGUUGGAAGGACUACAAUAUGGCAAAGUUUCAGAAUUAAUGGAGCUAGAAAAAUUAGGGUUGCAGUUAUAACUCAAGAAUGGGACAGAAUUUGAAAAGAGGAUGUUUCUCUCAAAAUUUUCAAAAGACAUAGUUAGGUUUUUGCUCAAAAGUGAUUUAUAGGCAUCACCCGACCUCUCACAAUUUUUGUGGGAUUUUAAAACAAUUAUUUAAAAUAAUUGUAGUGCAAUAGAAGCAUUUUAAGUAUUGAAAAUGCUUUUAAAAGUAUUACUUGUGGCAAAUUUUAUUAUGAAAAUAUUUCCCACUGUUAUUUAUGAUACAAAUGGAAAGGCUUAUAAAACAACCACAUACCACAACACUUCACAAAAAUAAUCUUCUAUGGAGGGGAGAAUUUUUUGUAAAACAGGAAAUAGAAAAGGCUUUGAAAUUAAUAAAUGACCUAGUAUAAUUCAAAAUUUUAUUUCUGGCCAAAUUUUACUUAAUAAAAUUUGAUUAAAAUUUUGGGGUGUUACAAACUCUACCCCCCUUAAGAAAAAUCUCGUCCUCGAGAUUUGUUAAGGGCAGAAGAACUGAAAAUCACAACAAAUGAUCAUAUGCAGAAUGCAGUCAUGGCAAUGCACUUACAUACGCCCUAAAUUACAAUACAGCGGUUGCAUCAUGUAUACUAGUGCUAGGUACAGCAACAAUGACCGUCUACAGUCUGAAGGUGAGAUCUACAGGGUCUUGUGGAAGGGUUCCCGAUGCUGGAGCACAUUCUUCUUCUUCCGGGGGAAGUGAAGGAAGUAAACGAAGAACACGCCCUUCCGGAGUUGGCCAUGGUGGUCCACCAAUGGCGAUAUGGGGAUUCAGCAUAGCAAGAUAAUGGAGGUAAUCCAUUAGUUGCUGGGUUAGAUGCUCCUGGGCCAUCACAUAUUGAAUGAGAUUGGCCAGAGUUGGAUCCCUCUCUAUGCGUUCACAACGGAACGUGGCUUCUGCUCCAAAAGCUGCGCGGCUCGGGAAAUAGUAGUAUUUCCUUUCACUGGCAGCGGGUAUAGUGAACCGAACACGGGUAACUGCUUCAUAAGCAGCAGCCUCAAUAGCCAUGCCUGAGGUUGGCAUGGAUCUCCCGACGAAGACAACAUAUGGAGGGUCUUGAUUUAAAUCCUCUCGUGGGAUGUGCACAACUGCCCAGUAUUUUGAGGAAUUAGGGGUGAUCCUCAUUUUGAACAACUCAUACUGGGGUGGGUUGCUGGAACCAAGGGUAUUGCGGGUCAGAUCCCACAAAACCUUAAUGAAACUACCAGGGCUUGCAUCUGGAGUUCGUAGGUAGACUCCAGGGUGAGACAUGGAAGGAUGAAUGGAGAAGAGCGGUGCUCAAGUGUGGUGGUGGCUGGUGUGGUGUAUGGAUAUGGCCCCUUAUAAGGUGCCUGGGCUAGGAAACACGAUGCGGCGCUGGCACGACUUGUGCAUCGGCUCCGACAUAGGGUUGUCCAAGUCAAAUUCUCGGACACCACUUCUCAAAAGGAGUGUGACAUAUUACUGUGCGUGUCGGCAGUCACAUCUAGCAUUUACUCUGUCGCCAUACACCAAUAAUUUACGCUAGAUCACACAUAGUACCAUUACAACAAUGGCACACAUGUAGUUGACAAGCUCACUAUGCCAUACGAUUGGUACCUUGAAAAUACAAGACAACAGGACUACUAAGAUUUGACAAUACUCCUGGUGGACUCAGUCCACCUCAUUGACAUCUAGCCGGGCGUGUCUUGCAGAUGUCGAGGCCUCUCCGUGAGCUUCAGUGUCGGAGUUGUUCGGGGUAGGAUGGGGAGCUAUAGUGCUGGAUAGCGAUGAUGCCCCUCGUGGGGUCUCGUGGUCACAAUCCCGUUGGAGUAGGUCUCCAAGAGACGACGGAGUUCUCCUGGGGAGGCAAAGGCAUUGUCGGGGUUGAUGAUAGGAGCAGACCUUGGGGGUUCAACUGGCCUCCCAAGUAGCAUUAUUGGGGUGUCGGUGUUGGUUGCAGCUUCACUCCUUACCGGUGUCAGGAGUGCAAUCGUCCUGCGGGUCGCAAUCAGAUCAUUGGUGACCUGAUCGAAUAGUGCCUCUUGCGCCCUCAGGUAGCGCACCAGAUGCACUAGAGCAGGAUCCAACUCAUGGUCACCGUUGGCGACUUGGGUCGGGCUACCAUAGCCUUCACGACUAGGGUAGUAGAAGAAAGGGCGGGUGUUAACCCUCGGCGACAAAUGCCGAAGAUGAACUAUACCCUCUCGGCUGCAAGUUGGAUGGCUUGGGGCUCGUCGGAGGUCAUCCUUCCGGUGAACCGGUAGGGGCGUUCUGAUGUGGUGCCCCUCCCGUAGAUGUGCACCGUGGCCCAGAAGUGAUGGAUGGCAUCACUUGUGUGUUCCUGGUACACAACAUAUUCUGGGGGUUCGUCUAUGCCAAAAGCACGAUGAGUGAGAUUGGCGAGGAUCGCUACAAAAUCUCCAAGCUCGGAUGCGGUGGUCUCGUUGCGGACGAUGGGACCAUGCAUCUUGGUGGUUUGGAAAUCAAGCUGCGAGUGAAGGCGAUGAUGUGCUGAGUAAGGGCAAGGCUUCCUUUAUAAGCCAGCGGAGUCUUCCAUCGCACGCUUGCGGAUGGGACAACUCAGGUGUCGGCCACGGGCGCACGGCCUAUGGCCUAGGACAAUAGGUUGGGCACCGACUAACAAAAAUCUGUCGGGUGGCCACUAUGCAGGCUAUCGGUUAGGAUGAGCUUGACGGUGGAUAGAAAAGGAUAUGGUCGGUGUGAAAACCUAGGGAUAGUGACCAGGCUAAGAUAGGAUUAGCCGGUGGUCAGCCUAGCUCUGAUACCAAGGUUGUCGGGGCCGGAUUUCCGGGACAUAAAUUCCCAGCAAACGACCCUUAUGUCACCACCAGCCCCAGGAUUACUGUUGCUGGUGGAUAUUUCCUUGAUACAGAAUUCCAAGAAAUUACAAGGAUUUGAGUACAAGACCUUAUAGGUCCAUUGAGUACAACAAUGAUUUCGAGUGGCAAAUAAUGGAAGCGACUCGUGGAUCUCCAACGCUGAUGGAACUCCAUUCCCACGGGAACAGCUGACCUGGAUAACUCCUAUCUCGCGCGGUUGCUAUCUCUGAAUCCUAGGUUGCGAGGUGGCUUCGUAGUACUCCUCUCUGAAUCAUGAUCUGGCCAAGACAAUAGCCAUGGACAAGCCAGUGAGUACGUUUGAAUGUACUCGCAAACAUCAAGAACAAAAGAUAUAGAGGAUGCAUAUGCUCAUGAUGAAUUAAAUUAUAUGCAUGUGCAGACUGAGAAUUCAAGCAUGGCAUGAAAAUAUUCAUACGGUGCAGAAGGAUAAAUUAGUCAUGUUAUUAGUAAAUCAAAGAAAUGAAACGGAACGUCGGGCGUUGGACCGCCCGAGAAAUUCCAAGAGAAAUGCCAAACGGGCGUCUAAAAGAGAAUCGGGCGAGACAGGACCGCCCGAGAACUCAAGCGAGACCACGAGAGGUCUUGAAAAGAAAUGCCAAACGAGUGUCUAAAAGAGAGUCGGGCGAGACAGGACCGCCCGAGAACUCAAGCGAUGCCACGAGAAGUCUUGAAAAUACACGGCACAGUCGGGUGUCUGAAGCGACGCCUCAUAAAGGGCUUAUAAGAAAAUAACAUGAGCAUUCAGGUGGACUAGCCAUCCCAAGAGAUACUCACAGUUGCACAUAAGAGGAAACGGUUAGUCCACAACAAUAUUCAUGUCAACAAUAAUAUUCAUAAUGGCACCAGCAGUGACAAUAAUUACCCUGCAGGACGAACCAUGAUCAAUUUAAUUAUUUCCUCCGGAGACUGACACUAAGGCCGACACUUGACCAACCCAGACUGUAGUCCUUAACCAUGGACAUGACUAUUCGAAUAGAUAUAAUUCUGCAGAGGGUGUACUCUUUACCCACAAGUAAAGGAUUUCUUUAGUCAACCCCGAGACGUUGACUAAUUCCGAUUACGGUCUUUGGGAUGAAAACACACCUGACCCGCACAUACCAGCUUUAAUCCAUCAAGCCAGGGAUCACCCAAAACAAUGAUAAAGUAAAAAUCUAAGUGGGAAGGCCUCAUGCAACGGCCUCCAACAGCAUGAACAUUCAGCUUCGGUCCCAGACCGGCCAUUCAUGCCCCCGGACCAAGUGACAUGACUACUGGGGCCAAUAGUACCAUUCCCUAUGGCCUCUCUGUACGGUGUGUGCAGGAAAGGGGUUAUCAACUUACUGAACCAUACCCUACCUUUGGCAGGAACAUGUGGUAGCACGAAUCAAGUAUGGGGGGUUACCGGAACAAGACUCGAUCUACGGUCAACUCAGGAGGUUUAAGUUUCCCUGCAAUGGUUAGCACAAUACAAUUCCUUGGCAUUACCCAACAGGGUCACCACCUAGUAUGUCUCAACAUACCCUCAUUGAUCAUUCUCCUCACGAACGAGAUUUCAGUCUCACGGUCACUUUUCUCGUGACUGAUUCUUCUUGCAAAUUAGCCUAGACCAACACAGGCAUAUACGGUACAUGAAAAUCACCAUACUCACUCAUACUUCAUGUUAAAAUGGAGAUAGAAUAUCAUCAAGGGGAAUCAUGCAUGUAUGACCAAUACUAUGCAAAUUUCAUAUGAGUUGAAUAUAUUCAUAAUUCAAUUCUACAUGCAAACAAACACUAUGCAUUCACCAUAUCAUGUGUUCAAGAUGCUUGCCUUGAGCAUGCAGAAAGAUUAGGCGCACUCCAAAACUUGGAAAUUAUAUCUCCCCUCCAUUUCCUAUUUUCAAAAUAUUAUAAUUACCACAUAAUUCUAAAACAACACAUAAAAGUUGUUUGUAAAAUUUUGAAAUAAAUACUAAAAUAAACUAGGUGAAUUUUGAAAAAUAACAGAAAAAGAAUCAAGUAAUUUGAAGUUCAUAUGAUUUUCCUAUGGAUUUACUAAGCUGGAAUAUUAAAGGAAAAUUGACUAUUUAGUAGAUCCAGCAAAAACCAGGACUAGGAAAAAUGUGCAACCUAUCUGGCUAAAUACAACAUGAUUUUGGAAGUAGGUAGAAAUUUGAAUAAUCGAAUUCGGAUGUGAAAUGGCUUCUGUGGAAUUAUUUGAAAUUUGCUGGAAAAGAAAAAGGAAACAGAGAUUACUGUGAUGGGCUGAGCAGAAACGCGCCCUGGGCGCAGUAUAGCCGCCUAGCGCUACUGGGCCGAGCCCAGUCGUUUGGCUGCGUGGGAGGGUUGCGACGUCGAAGGCGUCUUUACUAUUGUACGUUUUCCGGUGGAGGAGACGUACUUUGGGGAAAACGUCUCCACUUAAAAUGAGCUGGCACCGCGCUGAGUCACUGGCAGUGGGCCCGCCCGGCCCACUGGUCAGGUUUGACCAGUCCACGCGCGCGCCUCCUUCUCCGGCCGAACAGAGGCGGAGCUCCGGCGGUCGGCGCCGGCGAAAGGCGGCACCGUUUGGAAAACCGAGGCCUCCUACGAGCUCAGAAGGUUGAGGCGGACAUGUGGGUACCCUCCUUUGUCGCUGGAGUGGAGGGAGUCGCCGGCGGCGAGCUCACCCGAGGAGCUCCGGCGGAGACGAAUUGGGUGUUUCGCCUAUGGUGGCUCCCGGGCAAAAUUGAGUGUGGGGGUGGAUCAAUGGGUGCUCAAGGAGGCUAGUGGUGGAUAAACUUGUGAGAGGAAGGGCCGGACGGCGUCGGAACCAUCCGAACAGUGGCGGCGGCAGUAGUUGCCGGAAUCGGAGAAGACGACCUCCUCUGGUUGUGUUGCUGCAACGGGUGGGUCAGUGAGGGAGAGGUAGAGUGAUAUGGUGCUUUUCGAGGGCCUUGGGUGGCUUUUUAUAGGGAGGGGAGGGCAGUGCCGCGGGUUCCAGAGAUGAACACGUCGGCGGCGGCCAUUGAUGGCAAAGCGCGGGCGGUGGCGAGGUAGGAGUGGCCGGAGCGGUUAGGUACGGACGGUGGUCGUCCGUAUUUACCACGGGGUCGCGCUGGCUGGCUCGGGUGGCCUGGGCGGUGCCGUGCCCGAGCUGACCGCGGCGGCGGCCAUUCAAGGCGAGCGAGUGGGUGGUGGCGAGGCCGGUGUGUCGC